Molecule: ribosomal RNA, 544 nt
Filed under: Mycosarcoma maydis (corn smut)
Lineage: Eukaryota; Fungi; Basidiomycota; Ustilaginomycetes; Ustilaginales
Description: eukaryotic LSU rRNA
Rfam family: Eukaryotic large subunit ribosomal RNA
Source: RNAcentral
GGAUUCCCCUAGUAACGGCGAGUGAAGAGGGAAGAGCCCAAGAUUGAAAGCUGGCGUCUUCGGCGUCCGCAUUGUAACUCAAGAAGUGUUUUCCGCUUCGGACCAUGCCUAAGUCCCUUGGAAAAGGCAUCAUAGAGGGUGAUAAUCCCGUACAUGGCAUGGAGCGCCCGUAGCUUUGUGAUACGCUUUCUAAGAGUCGAGUUGUUUGGGAAUGCAGCUCAAAAUGGGUGGUAAAUGCCAUCUAAGGCUAAAUAUUGGGGAGAGACCGAUAGCGAACAAGUACAGUGAUGGAAAGAUGAAAAGAACUUUGAAAAGAGAGUUAAACAGUACGUGAAAUUGCCAAAAGGGAAGGGUAGGAGGUCAGAGAUGCGUCUUGGGAUUCAGCCUUGCUUCUGCCUGGUGUUUUUCCCAAGCUGCAGGCCAACGUCGGUUUUGGGCACUGGAGAAGGGUAGGAGGAACGUGGCACUCUCGGGGUGUGUUAUAGCCUCCUACUGAUACAGCGACCGAGACCGAGGAACGCAGGUACUCGUAAGAGCGCCUUUU